GCCCCCUUCUCAAGGCUGGGAAAACUGAAGUGGCCUCAGAAAAGGAGAUAAGCCCAGGCCAGGGGGAUUCCCAGGUCUAGCGGGCUUUCUCGGCCUCUGCUAAACCAUCUGGACCACAGGGAGCCAAGCCCAGGCUGGUGGCCCUCCCCUUCCCCACUCAGAGUGCAGGGCUGGUAAGAAGUCAUUUUUUGUUCAUCCUGUUAUUUUUAAUUUUUUUUCAAGUUUUUUUUUUCCUCCCAGGGCUUAGUUCCGUAGGAGUAGCACCCUAAGUGAGACGGAUGUUCAGAGUUCCUGAGGCGAGCGCAGCCCCCACCAGCCCUGCAGGCAAGAGGCAGAUGAAUUUACUGUGCUGUUUCCUGGAACGCUUUAAUUUAUAGCAUCCAUAUGGAGACACUGCCCAGCCACGGCCCCCGCAAACUCCCCGGCAGGCACGCAGGCUGGAGCCAGGAGGCACCACAUCGGGCCACACACAUCAUUUCUUCAUUCAUUGAUUCUUUCCUCGGGACCUGGGGGUCUCUCACUGAACCUGGCGCUCAGCUGACAGCCGACAAGCCAUCCUCCCCCACUGCCAUCACAGAGGUUGUGGGAAUGUAACAGUGAGAAAUGGCAGCUGAACCACAGGGAGGUUCCUCAGGGUGACAAAAAAUAAAAAUAGCUCUAAUUGAA
Non-coding RNA from Rattus norvegicus (Norway rat), 666 nucleotides. The record is from RefSeq and is a predicted model, not a curated record. NCBI's taxonomy places the organism in Eukaryota, Metazoa, Chordata, Mammalia, Rodentia, Muridae.